AGCGCUUUGGGGAGUGACUUCCGGCCAUGCGGGGCCUCUACCGCUGCCAUCGCGGUCCCGGUCUCCUGAAGUGGAACCCGGCUUGGAGUCGAGCGCGACCCCUCGCCCGUGGGCGCAGGCGAUCGAGUAAGGGUGGGGCGGGCCUCAAACCCGGAUCAGAACCCGCCCUGACCGGCGCAGAGAUACGGGACGCAGCCGACUAAGUUGGUGGCCUAGGUGUGGAGGCUGGUGGGGCCACCACCACAGACCACAGGAGGGGAUGUGUGCAGGCCAGGGUCCAGCCUUGCCUGAGGGUUGCACAGUGUUUUAAGUGACUUCUGCACUGGUGGGCCUCUCCUCCCGAAACCAGUCUCUCCCUCUUAACUCCAUACAGUAAGCAAGGCCCGGGAAGAAGUUGGGUUUCCCUGCCAUCCUUCCUGCCCCAGCCCCUCAUCCUCAACUCACCAUCAACCCUUCCACGAUCCCAAAUCGCUCGUGGAUGACUUUGGCGAGGGGAGCCAAACAGUUGGUGGUGCAGGACGCGUUGCUGAAACAGCCAAGGUGUGCACGGACACUGUGAGCUCUGACAACCUCGCCAUGAACCCUCCUAGACCCUCAGCUCCUGCAAUAGGAAGCUGGCUGCCAAAGGCCAGGAGGGUCCCUGAAAACAGACACUGCAUUAAAGAAAAAGCUCCUGGAGGACUCCUGAAGCCUGAGGCAGCCUUGGGGCAGCAGUGGCUCAUGGUUUACAUUGGAAAGGUUUAUCAUGAGUAACCGGGUGCUUUGCUUCUGUGAUUCUUGGCCAGUGUCGGUCUGUUUCCUUUGCCAUUGAGCCUGCUCCCCUCAAUGGGGGGUUCAAUCAAUGUUUGUGGGGUUUGUUUGUUUUGAGACAGGGUCUUCCUCUGUCGCCCAGGCUGGAGUGCAGUGGUGCAAUCAGAGCUCACUGCAGCCUUGAUCUUCCUGGCUCCGGCCAUCCUCCUGCCUUGGCCUCCCGAGUAGCUGGGACUACAGGCGCACACCACCAUGCCAAGCUAAUUUUUAAAUUUUUUUGUAGAGAUGGGGUCUCACUUUUGUUGCCCAGGGUGCUUUAGAACCCCUGGGCUCAAGUGAUCCUUGACCUCCCACAGUGCUGGGAUUACAGGUGUGAGCCACCGUGCCUGGCCUCAUGGGUUUUCUUUGUUUUGUUUUGUUUUGUUUUUGAGACAG
Molecule: long non-coding RNA, 1185 nt
Filed under: Homo sapiens (human)
Lineage: Eukaryota; Metazoa; Chordata; Mammalia; Primates; Hominidae
Description: TMEM147 antisense RNA 1
Source: RNAcentral